Molecule: ribosomal RNA, 575 nt
Filed under: teleost environmental sample
Lineage: Eukaryota; Metazoa; Chordata; Actinopteri
Description: partial 16S ribosomal RNA
Rfam family: Bacterial large subunit ribosomal RNA
Source: RNAcentral
UCGCCUCUUGCAACAAACGUAUAAGAGGUCCCGCCUGCCCUGUGACUUACUAGUUUAACGGCCGCGGUAUUUUGACCGUGCGAAGGUAGCGUAAUCACUUGUCUUUUAAAUGGAGACCUGUAUGAAUGGCACAACGAGGGCUAAGCUGUCUCCUUUUUCCAGUCAAUGAAAUUGAUCUUCCCGUGCAGAAGCGGGGAUGUAAACAUAAGACGAGAAGACCCUAUGGAGCUUAAGACACAAGGUAGUCCAUGUAAAACACCUGAAUCAAACAGAACUAACCAAAUGGUUCCUACCCUUUUGUCUUUGGUUGGGGCGACCGCGGGGAAACAAAAAUCCCCCACGUGGAAUGGGGCUCUCCCCCUUAAAGCCAGAGCCACAGCUCUAGCUAACAGAAUAUCUGACCUACAAGAUCCGGCAAAGCCGAUCAACGGACCGAGUUACCCUAGGGAUAACAGCGCAAUCCCCUUUUAGAGCCCAUAUCGACAAGGGGGUUUACGACCUCGAUGUUGGAUCAGGACAUCCUAAUGGUGCAGCCGCUAUUAAGGGUUCGUUUGUUCAACGAUUAAAGUCCUACG